This 5005-nucleotide long non-coding RNA is filed under the name Sus scrofa (pig). RNAcentral describes it as "lncRNA (ENSSSCG00030056178.1)". Lineage: Eukaryota; Metazoa; Chordata; Mammalia; Artiodactyla; Suidae. The record is from RNAcentral.
AGAGUAUAGUUGAUUUACAGUGUUGUGCCAAUUUCUGCUGUAUUGCACCUCAGUUUUUUAUCCAUUAAAUGGGAUGGCUGACCGUGGUCCUGCCUGGUUAGAGGGCUGAGAGGUGCGUGAAGCAGAAUACUAACUCAGUGGAGGAGCAUGGGCUUCGAUGCAAUCUUUGAUGUGGCUAUUGGUUAACAUUUGUGGUUUAAGGGCUCCAGAGAACAAGAUCCCCACAGGCCUUGUUUACUACAGGAAGCGUAUCUAUGCCCACAUGGACCUUAAUCUCUAACCCACUUCUCAGCUGAUAGAAAAGAAAUGAGAGGAAUGGUGACUCAGUCUAAGGGAAGAGAAAGGCAAAGAAAUCAUAAAACUUACGGGACAUUUCCACCCCUAAAACCCCUAUUGGACAAGGACUGAUAGAGGUAACUGGGCAAGGCCAAUGGGAGAAAAACCUCAUCCUUCUGGACCCCACGUUGGUAACCCCCAUCUUUAAGGGAUAAAAACCCCUACGGGACAAUGGAAAAGGAGACUCUUUUUCCUGCUCUCAGUAGCCCAGGGAGCUAUUUGCUUUCCUGUAAUAAAGACUUUACUUGCUUGCUGCCUGUGUGUUGGCAGAGUUCAUUCUUCGACUGCAUGGACAAGAACCCGGAUUCCGGUAACAUCUUUCCAGAAUAGAGUUUUCACCCCCCACCCCCAGCCCUGAGGGCAGCUUUGGCUGCUGAGGUCCCAGAAGCACGGCUAAGGCUCAGGCCGCUCCCCCCUCCCUGAGAGGCCCUUGGUGGCCCGCAGCCAGGACCUCAGGGACAUUUCUAGUUUGGCAAACUAAGCUGGUUCUUUUAACCUCAGGUGUCCCUGAAGGAAACUCAGAAAAAGAAACCCUGAUUUACUAAGGCCUCGCUUAAGAUCAGAACUUAAGUCUAGAGAUAAGCGCUCCUCCAAGCCCUGCCCUCACCUCCGGAGCGCACUCCUCUGACCAAAAACUUCCCUCAACCUUUGCUUCCAGAGGUUCCUCCUCAGCCCCUUCCUCCUCCGAGAUGCUCCAGCCUCUGCUGCCUCCGCGUCUGCCCCUUCAGCCCUCCUCACCGCCUUCAGAGAGUCUCUCCCUCAAAUGCUUGCAUCUCUUCCUCCGUGCUGCUCAGGCCUCUGAAGCCUGUAGCCAGAGCUUAACCCUGACGACACUUGUCCUUUAGCCACAGAAACUGUAACCGAGGAGGGACCUGUGGGGAUCCCGGCACACAAGGCUUUCUGUGUCCUCCAUUGCUUGUUUUUAGGGACUAAGCCUCAGCCUCCAUGACCUUCCCUGAGUUCCAAAGGACAGCUGCUAAUCAGGGAAGGGAGGGUAUGCAGAGACCUGGGAGGAGCAGUCAAGAGACAACAUCCUGGUUCCUCCUUAAGGAAUAUGCAUAACAGUAUCUUUGAGCCCUUCUGCAGAACUAAAAACCCCAACACAUGGAAGAAUAGCUUGAUGAAACAUUAUUCAUUCAGGAAGGAGGACCUCCAGAACCAGUCCUGGGACCGCUAAACACCAGCUUUGAAAAAUAAUGCAAAUUUGCCUCUACCCUGAUCCUUACCUAAGGCCCUAUUUUCCACUCGCCAAACUAUAAAAACACCUCCUAAUCCCUUCCAAGGGGGGCACAGUCUUUAAGGCAUUAGCCUGUGUGGCCCCCUUUGCCUGGCAAAGCAGUAAAACCAUCUUUUUCUCCUGCACCCAAAACUCGGUCUCUGUGUUUCUAUUUGGCAGCGGUGGACAGAGGCUGAGUUUGAGCAACAAGGGAAUCCAUUCACCCACUCACAUACUUCUUGUAAAGCACAGCACCAAGGUGUUUGAGUAUUUCAGGAAAGUGCCAUCCCUCCCUGUUUUCAGGAGUCUGUUCUACCUGAGUCUGUCCCUGCCAGGUCACUUCCCCAUGGAACUUGGUUGGGCUCCGGCCCCAAGCCUUCGAAGCCUGCACACUGGUCUCCUCUCAGGGUCCUGAGCUGGGGCUACGGCUGCAGCUGCUCCCACGGCGUGACCUCAGGAUUCCCUGGCAGGACUCCCUGUUCCCAUCCAGCUGUGGCUCCUGUCAGUCUGUCACCAGCUGUCGCCCCAUCUUCCCUGCCCCUCUGCCCCAUCACCCCACCCAGUUCAUUACUCUCGGACCUUUUCUGCUUUUCACCCUCCACUGAUUCACAGCGGGUUCCAAUUAAUUUUAAACGGUCACCAAUUUUCCUCAAGCCUCAGGCAAUAAUGGAGAUUUAGGUCUAAAUUAAAAUUUGCUAAUUUAGAAACAUUUGCCCACUAAUCGCUGCUGAAGCACUAUCGCUUGGCUGGCCUGCCACUUAGUGCUGUCCUGUCUUCUCUGGGUCUCUGGAGGGGUUUACCCGGUGGUCCCCUACCCAGGAGAUUGUGCCCCCGAGGGGACAAAAGUCUGGCUGCACUUUUGGUUGUUACUAUUCGGGAAGGGAAGUGCUACUGGUGUGAAUGGGUAGAAGCCAGGGAUGCUGCUAAACAUCCUAAAACGCAUGGGCCUGUCUCCCACCAAGAAGUAUUAUCUGGCCCAGAAUAUCCAUAAUGCUGAGGCUAAGAAACCCCGGAUCUAGAACAUGCCAGGCUCCUUCUCCAGAUACCUUUCCUUGCAUGGCCCUACAUUCUCAAGAGCUGGCCUUGAGGCUUUUGUUUCUUUGGAUAUAGAAAUUUAGAAGUGCAAAAUGAUCUCCUUAGAUGUUCCAGAUCUGUUUUCUUUGGCCCUAUAGUUUGUUUUAAUGCAUCUGGUAUUUAAAAUUGGGAGAUUUUGCAAGAAAAUCUGGAUUUACAGCUUGUCCUGAAAACUAGAAGAUGCGUUAACACUGGUUCUCAGUUCCUCGGUGGCAUUAAUCAGUGGCAUGAGCAGCAGCUCCCCACAGCCUUUCACAUGGGUCAUUACUUGGCCAGUAUACCUCAGUCUCCACCACUCCCUAUUGUCUCUGACCUUGAGUGUCAAUGGCCAUUUAUUAUUGUGCUUGCUCUGCUGUUUUCUCUCAUGGCAGAGAAACACGUCUGUCCCACACCUCAACCAAAAGUGGGAAAGCAAAAGGUGGACUGAGCCGGCACCUGGAGCCCUCAGUCAUUUUUAUUACCCACUCUACUGGUGGGCUUUUGUGCAAUUCCUGCUCCAGAUGGACCAUUGCCGGGGCAAGUGACUGGACCUUGUGACCCUAGAGUGCCUCCUGCAGAGUCCUAAGGGGAGGUGGGUGAAAGGUAAAUCUUGUGCUCUUUCCCAGUUCCAAAUUUCCUGCUGGGAAACGGGGCUCCUGAGGAUUGGGGUUCCCAGGGGAUCCACAUCAAACAAAUGCUCCCCACUGAACUGCAAAAGAGAGGUGAGGGGUGGGUCUCAGUCACAUAGUCCGAGGGAGCCUGGUCCUCAUCCCACCUUCUAACACAGGGCUGAUGAACUAUGGCCUACACACUUGCUGCCUCUUUUAUGAAUAAAGUUUUAUUGGUACAUUUACCUGUUAUCUGUACUUGUAACAGAUACUAGAGAGCCUGGAAAUCUAAAAUAUUAUUGUCUGUUCCUUCACAGAAUAAGUUUGCAGACCCCACCCUGACAUAGAAGCAUGUCUCAUUUGUAUACAGUUUGCAAUUUACAAAGCACUUUUUAAAUCCUCCCAACCAUGGGAAGGUGUGGGCAGAGCUAGGAUUGUCGAAGAUACCAAUAAAUGGUACCUUUGAGCAAUGGCUGGGUGCCCAACGCUGAGCUCUGCUCUUUCACAGGUAUUUCCUCACGGUAGCCUUGUGAAGUCAUUAUUUUAACUUUACAGAUGAUGCAACAGAAGCUCAGAGAGGUGAGGUGACAGAUCCAAGGUCACCCUCAAGCCUGUGCAGCUCCACGCCAGGCAUCUCUAUUCUCCAGCUUGCUCUGUUGCAACAGUCAGUUGUGACCUUGACCCUUUGUGUGCUAUGCUGGUGGGUUCCUGCCAUGGCGCUCCCAGGCAGCCUUCCUGCACAGUUGCUGGAGCUGCAGCCAUCACUCUCCCGCUGCUCACACUAGCAAACUACCUGGGAGUAAAGAACUGUUGCAUUAGGGCUAGUUCACUGUAGUUCAUUCUUUCCCCUCUCCCCAAAUUGCCAAAGGUCGGACUGCUCCAUGGACUACUGGGCAACUUCCCCUUGAGCCAGAGAGCUACCCGUUCCGAACUAGUGCUGCCAGGUGGGAACAGAUGCUCUGAACACCAAGCCAAGCUCCCUCCUAACCCUGAUGGCUGGUGAUGCCAGGAUGAGACAGCCAGAGACCUGGGGGUGGUUAAAAAGAGGACAAAGGGAGGGGGUCUAAGUUGAGGGGAGCAUAGCCCAAUGACGCAGCAGGGACGAGGGCCAGGAAUCAGGGCAAAUGUAAAAAGCAACCGUGUGUUUCAUUGCAAGCUGCCUGGUGGUCUGUGAAGGGUAAUAGAUGCAAAGCUUCAAGGAGUUGUAAUCUGGCCGGAUAGGACAGGCCACAUGGAACCAGCGCACCUUGGAGGAGUAAUUUAUGCCACAUUAACUCCGAGCAGUUGGGCCUCCGUGUGCACCCAUGUGUGUCUAGGCAUCUGUGUUUUGUGUGAGCAAGCAGGGCUGACCAAGCCCCCUGGGACCUGUAGAUGGUUUCACGCAUGGGGAGUGAUGUCAGGUACCAGGAGGAAGUGCUGACCCCCACACAUUUGGACCUGCCACGGAGCCCCAUGUCCAGGCACCUGGUAGGUGCUUGGUAAAUGUUAACAUGAACCCAUCCUUUCAGCUAGGUGUGAAACUGAGUAUAGUUAUAGACAUAUGGAUCCCGACAUACAUAUGUAUGUGCAGGUAGAUAGUCUAGUAAAUGAAAAUCAAAUACAAAGGUUAUCUAUUUUUUUCCAUUAUUAUUAUCAAUGUUUUCAAUAAAAAUUGAGAGCCUACCAUAUUAAUUGCUUUCCUCUUAAAUUGUAAGAAUAAUUUGAUAGGAGGGGAGAACAGUAAACAAGCCAAACAGUCUCACAUUUGUGUGAUUAUGAGAGAGGUGAGGUGGGACUAUGAGUGGGGGCUUUG